CACGUAGGGGCCAAGCGUUGUCCGGAUUUAUUGGGCGUAAAGAGCUCGUAGGCGGCUCGGUAAGUCGGGUGUGAAACCUCCAGGCUCAACCUGGAGACGCCACCCGAUACUGCUGUGGCUAGAGUCCGGUAGGGGAGCGUGGAAUUCCUGGUGUAGCGGUGAAAUGCGCAGAUAUCAGGAGGAACACCAGCGGCGAAGGCGGCGCUCUGGGCCGAUACUGACGCUGAGGAGCGAAAGCGUGGGGAGCAAACAGG
This 254-nucleotide ribosomal RNA is filed under the name uncultured bacterium. RNAcentral's name for it is "partial 16S ribosomal RNA". It matches the Rfam family "Bacterial small subunit ribosomal RNA", at positions 524 to 776 of the family's 1533-position model. The record is from RNAcentral.